This 639-nucleotide ribosomal RNA is filed under the name uncultured Actinomycetes bacterium. RNAcentral describes it as "bacterial SSU rRNA". It matches the Rfam family "Bacterial small subunit ribosomal RNA", at positions 232 to 885 of the family's 1533-position model. Lineage: Bacteria; Bacillati; Actinomycetota; Actinomycetes. The record is from RNAcentral.
CGCGGCCUAUCAGCUUGUUGGUGAGGUAAAGGCUCACCAAGGCAUCGACGGGUAGCUGGUCUGAGAGGACGAUCAGCCACACUGGGACUGAGACACGGCCCAGACUCCUACGGGAGGCAGCAGUAGGGAAUCUUGCGCAAUGGGCGAAAGCCUGACGCAGCAACGCCGCGUGGGGGAAGAAGGCUCUAGGGUCGUAAACCCCUUUCAGCAGGGACGAAAAUGACGGUACCUGCAGAAGAAGCGCCGGCCAACUACGUGCCAGCAGCCGCGGUAAUACGUAGGGCGCAAGCGUUGUCCGGAUUUAUUGGGCGUAAAGGGCUCGUAGGCGGUUUGGUAAGUCGGGUGUGAAAACUCAGGGCUCAACUCUGAGACGCCACUCGAUACUGCCAUGACUAGAGUCCGGUAGGGGAGCGGGGAAUUCCUAGUGUAGCGGUGAAAUGCGCAGAUAUUAGGAGGAACACCAGUGGCGAAGGCGCCGCUCUGGGCCGUAACUGACGCUGAGGAGCGAAAGCGUGGGUAGCAAACAGGAUUAGAUACCCUGGUAGUCCACGCCGUAAACGUUGGGCACUAGGUGUGGGUCUCAACCAACGAGAUCCGCGCCGUCGCUAACGCAUUAAGUGCCCCGCCUGGGGAGUACGG